UUCGCCUUGUAUGUUUAAAACUGUUAUUUGAUAUGUUGAGUGAAUUAUGGAGACAGGAAAGGCAGCGGUUACCUGUAUUUCCCUGGAGUUGUCAACAGGUGGCGCUAUGUGUGUUGCGUACGAGAUUAUGCGCAUGCAUUCUCACCUCGGUCAUUGUUUUGAUAGACAUGCAACGAGUAGUGUGAGAGAGACGCUCACUCUCUGGGAACGGUGUACAACAGUAUGUUGAGCAUUUCAACCCUCGUGAGGUGAAUGUGAUGUUCUGUAGGAGCUGAUUGUUACGCUCUUCACCAAUCAGCUGAUUGAACUUCUAUUCAAUAUGAAGGGAAGGGCAAAAAGAUAAAAUUUGAAUUGAAGACAAUAAAUUGUUUUCAGCAAUAAAAGCUGCUGUCAUGAAAUGGGACCCAGCUGCUACAGAGGCCCAAAUAAAGUCUGCUGCAUCUGAUCAUCUGAAACAUGCCCCGGGAGAGUCAGGGGUGGUGGCUGUAAAUGAAUAUAUUGUGGACCUUAUAGCAGCCACAUUUUGUUAAUUGUUUACUGUUUUAACAAAAUUUUAUAGCACUUUUAUUUAUAACUUUACUGUUCAGGUUUUAAGUUGUAUUGUGUUAAUUUAUACUUGACUGUUCAGGUUUUAAGUUGUAUUGUGUUAAUUUAUACUUGACUGUUCAGGUUUUAAGUUGUAUUGUGUUAAUUUAUACUUUACUGUUCUGGUUUUAAGCUUGGGUAAAAUUUGUAAUAAAAAUAUAUU
Long non-coding RNA from Xyrauchen texanus (razorback sucker), 748 nucleotides. RefSeq lists it as uncharacterized. The record is from RefSeq and is a predicted model, not a curated record. The transcript has 4 exons. Lineage: Eukaryota; Metazoa; Chordata; Actinopteri; Cypriniformes; Catostomidae.